AUAUUAAAAUGAAUGGAUGGUGUGAAAUGGGCUACAGAUUUGUCACAAUAUCUGAGAUUUUAGGUUGAACCUGGUGGCUAGUGUAUCAAGCACAUAACAAAUUUUGCAUAGCCUCUGGGGCGGGGCACUGAAGUAACAUCCCCUAGGAUCCUGAUGAGUUAACUUUGUCAUGCCCAUGGUUUUGGAACAUAAACGAGUUCUUUAGUCAAGUAUUUGUUACUAAAAUAUUUGGUUGAUUAAAUAAAGACAAAUGGAGAAUUUUCUUUUUGCUGACUUUUAUUUCUUUGGUUGUGUAAGCUUUUAUGGAUUUGUACUUUUGUCAGGUUUGCUUUCUUGACAUGGUGACAAGUUUAAUGGAAGUACACUUAAUAUUUUUUUUCAUAUGAGUAAAAUUUCCAUCUGCACAAUCUUCAAAUAUCCAAAGAUGAAAAAUUGGUGAUUUUAUCUUUUUGUUUUUGUAAUUAUUUUUUUCUUGAAUUUUGAGUGACCAGUCCUAUAUGACAUAUCCAUUAAAACUAUACUGCCAGCACAUAAACUUCCGAGAGGGGACUAACCAAAAUCCUUGGUUUAUCAAAGAUAUUUUUUACAAGCUAAAUUAAGAAAUUAUGAAUUCAGUGAGUAGCCUUUUGUAGUUAAUCACUUUGGUAUCUGGGAAUUUAUCAAGUUCAAGGUUUCUUUUGCUGUGACAACCUUGGAGGUCAUAAAUUCGUAGUAUUGUCUCUGAUGUGUUUUCAAUGCAUCAGAUGAGCAUUGAAUUUAAUCUUGCACAGACUUCAAACAGAGCUGAAGAUAUUGAUACAGUCUUGUAGACCUGAUAUUGGGAAUUACAAAAGAGUGGCAGUUUGUGAACGUUGGUCUGAUGUCCAUUAAUCCUUUAUGGUAGCACAGAACUGAACUCUUAGCUUCUUCUUUUGUGGACAGAUGCUACCAUUAUGUCUUUGUACUAGAAUACGUGGAAUUUAUUUGCGUUUUGUUUUCUCUGUAAUGUUUUACUUGUUAUUCUGUAAGGGUUGUCCAAGAAGGCAGAAAUUAGUUACUGUUUUUUUACCUUACUCAUUUUACUUAUUUGACUUAUAAAAAGCAGUAGUUAUCCUUUUUAUUGUUUAUAUUUACUUACCUCUUCUUUUUCAGGUUUCGCUGGUGAUAAAUUAUGAUCUUCCCAACAAUCGAGAACUGUACAUUCACAGAAUUGGUCGUUCAGGUCGUUUCGGACGCAAGGGUGUUGCAAUUAACUUUGUCAAGAGUGACGAUAUCAAGAUUCUUCGGGAUAUUGAGCAAUAUUACAGUACACAGAUUGACGAAAUGCCAAUGAAUGUUGCGGAUUUAAUUUAAAGAGAAUGCUGGCUUAAAGUCUACGCAAGUGGAAGAUAGGGAGAGGGAUGAUGCAUGUGUGUUAGGCUUUUGUACACUGGUGGUGGACUGCUAAAUCUAAAUGGUUUUGACGACAAGUAGCGAAUGGGAGUGGUAAAUGACUUUGCUAAUGCCUGAACUAUUUAUGAGAUUGUUCUUUCACACUGAGUUGAGAACCGUUUAGAAGUUGGGAGUAAUUAUAUAUGUUGAUUAUUUUGUUUUUAAUUUUGGUUUCUAGUUGUGUUAAAAUAUUGGGAAUUUGAAGCCAAAGUUGGGAGUAAAUUGUAUUUGUUGAUAAUUUUUGCUUUUAAA
Carica papaya (papaya) is the source of this 1662-nucleotide non-coding RNA. NCBI's taxonomy places the organism in Eukaryota, Viridiplantae, Streptophyta, Magnoliopsida, Brassicales, Caricaceae. The record is from RefSeq and is a predicted model, not a curated record.